This 36-nucleotide ribosomal RNA is filed under the name Thailentadopsis nitida. RNAcentral's name for it is "partial 18S ribosomal RNA". The record is from RNAcentral. Lineage: Eukaryota; Viridiplantae; Streptophyta; Magnoliopsida; Fabales; Fabaceae.
CAAAGAUUAAGCCAUGCAUGUGACCUGCCAGUAGUC